This 73-nucleotide transfer RNA is filed under the name archaeon. Its description in RNAcentral is "tRNA-Val". It matches the Rfam family "tRNA". From Rfam's summary of the family: Transfer RNA (tRNA) molecules are approximately 80 nucleotides in length. The record is from RNAcentral.
GGGCCUGUGGUCUAGUGGUUAUGACGUCCGCUUGACGUGCGGGAGGUCCCAGGUUCGAGCCCUGGCAGGCCCA